GAUGAACGCUCGCGAUAGGCUUAACACAUGCAAGUCGAGGGGCAGCAUGGUCUUAGCUUGCUAAGGCUGAUGGCGACCGGCGCACGGGUGCGUAACGCGUAUGCAACUUGCCUCACAGAGGGGGAUAACCCGUCGAAAGACGGACUAAUACCGCGUACACUCUAUGUUGGGCCUCCAAUGUAGAGGAAAUGAACUUCGCUGUGAGAUAGGCAUGCGUCCCAUUAGCUAGUUGGUGAGGUAACGGCUCACCAAGGCGACGAUGGGUAGGGGAACUGAGAGGUUGAACCCCCACACUGGUACUGAGACACGGACCAGACUCCUACGGGAGGCAGCAGUGAGGAAUAUUGGUCAAUGGGCGAGAGCCUGAACCAGCCAAGUCGCGUGAAGGAUGACUGUCUUAUGGAUUGUAAACUUCUUUUAGACGGGAAUAACAAGAGUCACGUGUGGCUCCCUGCAUGUACCGUAUGAAUAAGCAUCGGCUAACUCCGUG
This 490-nucleotide ribosomal RNA is filed under the name uncultured bacterium. Its description in RNAcentral is "partial 16S ribosomal RNA". It matches the Rfam family "Bacterial small subunit ribosomal RNA", at positions 28 to 507 of the family's 1533-position model. The record is from RNAcentral.